Long non-coding RNA from Carassius auratus (goldfish), 923 nucleotides. RefSeq lists it as uncharacterized. NCBI's taxonomy places the organism in Eukaryota, Metazoa, Chordata, Actinopteri, Cypriniformes, Cyprinidae. The transcript is spliced from 2 exons. The record is from RefSeq and is a predicted model, not a curated record.
GGCAGGAACAACAGCGAUGAGUAAAGCUCAAGUUCUCCUUUAUGAGCCCCUCAUCUAACGACCGCAUUUGAUUACAGUCAGUCUCAGAGUUGAGGAACUUUUUACAGGAUUACUGCCAGUUUCCUCCAGCACACACACACACACACACACACACACACACACUGCUGGAUGCUGGAGCGUCUCUGUGAAAGCGGAGUGGGCUGAGGCUAUAAUGAGAGCGGUAUGAAGGGAUGAUGUUGAAGACUGGCCGAGCCAGACAGGGAUAAACAGUGGGGAGUUUCCUUCAGAUUCUACCACCGCUCUUCUGGUUUGUCUCUGUUAGGCAGUUCAUUCUGCUUUGAUCCUGGAGAAGUUAAAAGAGGCUAAAAAAGCCUCGCUGGACCCCAUGACUAUCCUCCUGGCGUGGAUCACUGGACAUUUCAGAACAGCAAGCAAUAUUACGACUGGAGAAUUACAGUGCUUCUUAGGAGUUUGUGAGGCUUAUGGAUUUCCCAUCACCCCAGACUGCACUUUAUUUUGCAAGAAUGUGAUGCGGUCUGUUUGACCCAUCCUUGUUUCAAGAAAAUGACUUAAUUUAGCGAUAUGAGAAACAUCAGACAGAGAGAAAAGCCAAAUGGAGGACGUCAUAGGAAAUGGGUUUUCAUAAAACAUCCUUCACAGGCAUUUUGACAUGAUUACACAUGACUAAUGAUUUCUUCAAAUGACUUAAUCAGGUUCACUCGUCUUGGGAGGCAAGUAAAUGCAGAAAUGAAGGGUUGCAUAGGCCUGCUAAACUGUAAAACCUAAACCAGCCAACAUGGAAGUGAUUCAGAUUGCAUGUUUACUGCUACAUGUCUUAUUACAAAAUAGCUAUGAUUUUCCUGACUUGUACCAUGGUAAUACUGUGGUAUUCUUAAAGUACCAUGCAAAUGCAAUUUAUGGUU